RNAcentral lists this ribosomal RNA (229 nucleotides) under uncultured Pseudolabrys sp. Its description in RNAcentral is "partial 16S ribosomal RNA". It matches the Rfam family "Bacterial small subunit ribosomal RNA", at positions 1157 to 1382 of the family's 1533-position model. Lineage: Bacteria; Pseudomonadati; Pseudomonadota; Alphaproteobacteria; Hyphomicrobiales; Xanthobacteraceae. The record is from RNAcentral.
GAUAAGCCGGAGGAAGGUGGGGAUGACGUCAAGUCCUCACUUGGCCCUUUACGGGCUGGGCUACACACGUGCUACAAUGGCGGUGACAGAGGGAUGCGAGGGCGCAAGACCUUGGACAAAUCUCAAAAAGCCGUCUCAGUUCGGAUUGGGGUCUGCAACUCGACCCAUGAAGUUGGAAUCGCUAGUAAUCGCGGAUCAGCACGCCGCGGUGAAUACGUUCCCGGGCCUU